This is a non-coding RNA of Gammaproteobacteria bacterium, 115 nucleotides long. The record is from Rfam. Lineage: Bacteria; Pseudomonadati; Pseudomonadota; Gammaproteobacteria.
CCUGGUGGCUAUAGCGAGCGGGAACCACCUGAUCCCAUUCCGAACUCAGAAGUGAAAACGCUCAGCGUCGAUGAUAGUGUGGUGUAUUCCAUGCGAAAGUAGAACACUGCCAGGG